AGGAAGAGGGGAAGCCUUGGAGAGGAGCCCGUGACGGCUGAAAACAGACGGAACGCCCUGGAAUUGCACAGCAUUUGAAGACACUAAGAAAGCAACGAGAACCUCAGGGUCACAUGGCUGAUGGGUGACGACGCUGUGACUGGAAGCACGUUGCCAGACGUCAGGUCAGCGUGGCGAGCCUUUGUGUCACCAACACCCAGAUCAAAAAGCAGAGCGUUACCAGCACCCCAGAUGCUUCCGCGGGC
This is a long non-coding RNA of Hipposideros armiger (great roundleaf bat), 245 nucleotides long. RefSeq lists it as uncharacterized. The record is from RefSeq and is a predicted model, not a curated record. Lineage: Eukaryota; Metazoa; Chordata; Mammalia; Chiroptera; Hipposideridae. The transcript is spliced from 3 exons.